This is a non-coding RNA of Oryzias latipes (Japanese medaka), 3043 nucleotides long. The record is from RefSeq and is a predicted model, not a curated record. Lineage: Eukaryota; Metazoa; Chordata; Actinopteri; Beloniformes; Adrianichthyidae.
ACAUAGGUUUUUAUUGCACAUAUGCUUUUGUUUAAAGGAGAUUUAGCCGUUAUUGAAGUUGCUCUGUCGCUUUACAGAUGUCUGACACUUCAAUGAGUUUAAACCCAGACAGAAGACGGCGAAUUAGACGAACGGCACUCAGAGGCCUUAUGACUCCCAUCCUCAAUACUAUCAUCCCGCCUCACAGGCAGGAUCACUUUGGCAAACAAUCUGUGGUGAGGAAGGCCUGAACUCCCUAACAAGCUAACGAACCUGAACACGAAGAACGAUCCGAGAAUGAAAGCAUCUGUUCCUCGCAUUGUUCUGGGAAACGAGGCCCCUUCAUCCUCCACUUUGGGUGUUUACCACACAAACAAGACAACAGCGAGCUUACUGGUCCAUGUCGGCGUCGAGGGAUUUACCUCCGUCAAUCCCAAUCUACCUCAGACGAAAUCCCAAAUUUAUGAGCACAUUUGCCGGCUUAAUCCAACCGCCAAAAGAGAUUAGCGACUGGAUACUUGUCAACGGUGGCCAGGGAAACCCAUGCAACAGGGUGUGGCGACGGCGGCGGAAUAGGUGGUCUCCGCUCUUGUUGGUUCGUCUGAUUUAUUGGUAUCCCUCACCGCGCACUGGGGGGGGGGGGUUCGUCUUUUAUCAGACUGUCAGGGCGCGCGGGUGGCGACGCAAGUAGGAGGGCUGUAAACGAAAAGGGAGGUGGGAAGGUGGUUAUUUCUGCUGAUAGGGCAUAUUUUCCGUCAACUGUUUCUGGCAGAUGAGAGGGUGAGAUAAUGCCUCCGCCAAGGAAAGUCUCUCGGCUCUUCAGCGUCCACCCGAGCGUCUCUGGCCCCUUUUCCUUCUCCUCCUCUUCCUUCUUCUUCUUCUUCUUCUCCUUUCUGGUCUUUUCUUUUUUCAAAGUAAUUACUGCGGGAGCGUGCUCAGUAAUUACAAAGCGCCCCGUCACGCUCAUGUCAGGUAAUGGCAUCGCUUGCUCUGCCGGCGGCGAUAACACAGGUGAGACGAAUCGGAGAAAACAGAUCUGAUGGUAUUGCUCUGGUAAAGGAAUGGCAUUUUGAUGGAACGGCGUGCGGGGGAGGGGUUAUUGAUAGGCCGCCUUUGGUCUCCACAGGUAUAAGCAUGGGCCCCUCCUAGCAAAAAUGCGUUUGUUGCAUGAAAUGAGCUUAAAUAUCAACCUCUAAUCGACCAAAACGUCCCAAAAAAAUAAGGAGUCUCGUCAACUGGGAUUCGCCGUGUUCUACCAGUGACUUGGACACGGCGGCGACCUGCAGAUCCCAGCUUCCCUAAAGAUGGUGGCACGUAAUUAGCAAGGCGCGUCUCCUUGAGAGCUUGACCCCAUUUGUUUGCAAUUUCAUUACAAUUCCCAGGAGCCGCCACGAGUUAACGCUAAACGCUCACCAGAGGGGGGGAUCGGGGUGGGCCGGCAUUUGGCGAAGAAGUAUCAACGGCGCUCGAUAACACUCCUUUCAUGUUAACAAAUGCCAUUACUCCAGUCUGUGCACUGGUCUUUUUUUUGUUUUUGGGGAUAAACCUUUGGAAGAGGAACUUUACUCAUCACCCACGCCACCAAUGGGGCCUGACGGUGCGGGAAGCAUCCAGGGUCAGUACCGAGUAACUCGGUGCCCCAACAACUAGCUGGAGGAAAACCGAACCAUCCUGAGAAAACAGGAGUCUCCAGAAAAAAACUGUAGUGCCCAGACAAAAUCCACGCUUGCACAAGGAGAACACGCAAACUUCACACAGUAAGGUACCAUGCAGCAAUCGAAUCAGGAACUCCUGCAGCUUCUCAACCAAGGCUCAAGACUUCUGGUUGAGGAAUCUAGAGGCACCUUGCACGCAUCGGACGCGUCCACCUGGAUUCAUGCAGAUUCCUGCAAUUCUGCCUUUUUCCUGCACACAACCCAAGUUGGAAGCAUUUUGAUGUCAACAGCAAAGCAAGAAAUAAGAAACACAUUUUUAUCUCUGGCACGCUCAGGGCCAGGCGAGGAGCGAGCCCCCGCAUCGCGUGUGACAGGGUGCAUUGUGGGGAAGCUCUUUAUCCCCCAUACGCACAAACCAGCACUCCGCAGAGGUACGUCCCCGUUUGAGGAUACAGUCGCUGCAGGUUGGACCCAUUAGGGAAGCUUAGGAACUCAAGAUGCAACAAUUUGGGAGCAAAGGAGGAGACGGGAGAGGAAAAAGUAGAGCCAUGACUCAGCGUUUUUUAAGAUUCAAUGGAUGAUCCGGACACCGUGAAGGUGCUGCCGAAAAUUCAGACCAAAGUUCAUGAAAAAAAAUAAAGAUAGGAUGGGGUGACAUUUAAAAACAAGCGCUCCAUUUUUCUGUCAAAUAUCAAAGAACCGGAGGGGUCUUUCUUUCAUUUUUAAUCUUUUUUUUUUUUAAUGGCCCGCAAACUUCAUAUUGUUUUCGCAAUUCUUCACGAUGACAUCACAGUAGGAAAAAAUGCAGUGAUGGGCUGGAUUCAGAAUUUAAAAGGAAAGCUACUUGGGGGAGAAAAAAGUUGUAAAAUUUUACGAUGUUAGCAUGACGAGCUAGCAUGACGAGCUAGCAUAAGUGGCACAUCCCUGUUGCUCACACACUUUUGACCGGAACAUUGUAAAAAUGGAAUAAAUGAAUCCUUGGCUCAAGAUGAUCGAAAAUAUAUAACAUAAACUUUGACUAUAGCAGAGAUGUGGGUGUGGUUAUUAAAAAACCUUGGUUGCUAAGGAAAUAUCAAAAUUUACUUUUGCCCAUUCAUCUAAAAAUUACAUCUAUCUGCUCGUAAACCCAAGGCGACCCAAAAAUGAAAUGGUUGCUAUGGGGAUAAAACAAAAACAAAGAGCCGCCAUUUUGAAAAAAGAAGGUGUUUUUUUUUCAUGUAAAUAUUGUGUGACGCCGGUGAGGUGAUGAAAGAUGAGAGUUGGCGCGCACAGCUCUUUUUUUUUUCUUACGCUGUCAACGCCGCUUUCAAUACUUUGUGGUUAGGGACAGAGGGCCGAUCCCAAGAAUCCUAUCGCUUAAACGGCUGAGCGUUUUACAAGGAAAACGUUUCCAAAUGCCUCUCAAAAAA